AUGAGACCCCUGGUGCUGCUCGUCGCGCUGGCCAUUGUCGCCGUCCUCGCAGCUCUGCCAGGGCUAGGGACGGCACAGCUGAGAGCCAAAGGCGCGACGCCGAGCGCCUGGCCGUGCUGCAACAAUUGCGGCAGCUGCACCAGGUCCUUGCCUCCGCAGUGCGUCUGCAGGGAUGUGUCCCCGAGAGGGUGCGAUCCGGCCUGCAACAACUGCGUCAGGUCCAACUCCACCGUCGCCGGCCGCCGUGGCUUCCAGUGCUUUGACCGCAUCAAAAACUUCUGCGAGCGCCGCUGCACACCUGUCGUGUGA
RNAcentral lists this ribosomal RNA (309 nucleotides) under Triticum aestivum (bread wheat). RNAcentral describes it as "partial small subunit ribosomal RNA". Lineage: Eukaryota; Viridiplantae; Streptophyta; Magnoliopsida; Poales; Poaceae. The record is from RNAcentral.